UGUCUCUAUGGGUUAUCUGCCAAGUAAUUGUCAGUUCUUUAACCUAAAAAUAUCUGGGGACAACUCCAAAGAUCAAUCCGAACACAGAGAUAUUUUGGCUUUCUCCUCUCCACAUGCUUACCUCCCUUCAGCUGCAGGUUUUUCCCACAUUCUGUUUUGCUUUCAUUUCUAGGUCUGUACCAAACGGUGACCCAGCCCCAACCUGGGGCCACACAGGGUGGAUUUGAGCUGGCUUGCACUGAGCACUGCAAGUCAAGGCUGAUUCCCUCACUUUACUCCUGAUUUGAAGAUGCAGACAAACAGAGAAAUACAUUCAUGCAGACCUAUAUUUCACCUGUAUGAAACGCAGAAGACAAUUCCAUGCUCCUGCUUCCGGAUCAGCAAGUGCUUUCUCCUUCCAUCUCUCCUGAUGCCAUCUCAUUUCUCUUGUGCUCUGCUUCUUUUAGCCACUUGGACAAACAACUUUUAUCAGUUAAAGAACCAAUGUGAAAAAAUGAAUGCCUGCUGAUUUUAAACCACGCUAAUGAGGGAUCCAUCACUUUAUUUUCUGACUGUUCUAUGAAUGUCGACACAAAGUCAACUUUCAUAGCGCAGAAGUUAUUCAGGAAGACAGUUUAUUUGCCCUGAACAAUGGUCCACUUUUAAUAACAUUAUUGCAGAACAACUGAACUCCGAAGCCUACUCCAAACAAAAUUUUAAAUGACUUGUCUCAG
Long non-coding RNA from Gallus gallus (chicken), 713 nucleotides. The record is from Ensembl. Lineage: Eukaryota; Metazoa; Chordata; Aves; Galliformes; Phasianidae.